RNAcentral lists this transfer RNA (64 nucleotides) under Xenos vesparum. Its description in RNAcentral is "tRNA-Gln". Lineage: Eukaryota; Metazoa; Arthropoda; Insecta; Strepsiptera; Xenidae. The record is from RNAcentral.
UAUUUUAGUAUAAAUAGUAUAUAAAUUUUUGGGAUUUAUGGUAAAGUUUAGAAUUUAAGUAUAG